UGGUCCGUUGGUCAAGGGGUUAAGACACCGCCUUUUCACGGCGGUAACACGGGUUCGAAUCCCGUACGGACUAUAUU
Molecule: transfer RNA, 77 nt
Filed under: Streptococcus equi subsp. zooepidemicus MGCS10565
Lineage: Bacteria; Bacillati; Bacillota; Bacilli; Lactobacillales; Streptococcaceae
Also listed under: 1 other name
Description: tRNA-Glu
Rfam family: tRNA
About the family: Transfer RNA (tRNA) molecules are approximately 80 nucleotides in length.
Source: RNAcentral